UGGACAGAACAACAGAGACUGAAGUUUUCUAUACAUAAAACAGAUACAGCAGGAGCAGCAGCAGUGCAAGCCUCCCUACACUGCCCCCUGGCUCAUAUGACUCAGUCCUGACGUGGAGUGAUCACCGCUAAGGGUGAGAGGGUGGCUUAAUGCCCAUGCCUAUUCCAUCCCUCAUUUCU
RNAcentral lists this small RNA (179 nucleotides) under Chrysemys picta bellii (western painted turtle). RNAcentral describes it as "TUC338 (ENSCPBG00000016470.1)". Lineage: Eukaryota; Metazoa; Chordata; Testudines; Emydidae. The record is from RNAcentral.